GACGAACGCUGGCGGCGUGCUUAACACAUGCAAGUCGAACGGAAAGGCCCUGCUUUUGUUGGGUGCUCGAGUGGCGAAAGGGUGAGUAACACGUGAGUAACCUGCCCUUUACUUUGGGAUAACUUCAGGAAACUGGGGCUAAUACCGGAUAUGAGCUCCUGCUGCAUGGUGGGGGUUGGAAAGUUUCGGCGAUUGGGGAUGGACUCGCGGCUUAUCAGCUUGUUGGUGGGGUAGUGGCUUACCAAGGCUUUGACGGGUAGCCGGACUGAGAGGGUGACCGGCCACAUUGGGACUGAGAUACGGGCAAGACUCAUACGGGAGGCAGCAGUGGGGAAUAUUGCAAACUGGGCGGAAGCAUGAUGCAGCAACGCCGCGUGCGGGAUGACGGCCUUCGGGUUGUAAACCGCUUUCGCCUGUGACGAAGCGUGAGUGACGGUAAUGGGUAAAGAAGCACCGGCUAACUACGUG
RNAcentral lists this ribosomal RNA (468 nucleotides) under uncultured bacterium. Its description in RNAcentral is "partial 16S ribosomal RNA". It matches the Rfam family "Bacterial small subunit ribosomal RNA", at positions 28 to 507 of the family's 1533-position model. The record is from RNAcentral.